GUGAGGAAUAUUGGACAAUGGGCGCAAGCCUGAUCCAGCCAUGCCGCGUGCAGGAAGACGCAUCUAUGGUGUGUAAACUGCUUUUGUACGGGAAGAAACACUCCCUCGUGAGGGAGCUUGACGGUACCGUAAGAAUAAGGAUCGGCUAACUCCGUGCCAGCAGCCGCGGUAAUACGGAGGAUCCAAGCGUUAUCCGGAAUCAUUGGGUUUAAAGGGUCCGUAGGCGGUUUAAUAAGUCAGUGGUGAAAGCCCAUCGCUCAACAAUGGAACGGCCAUUGAUACUGUUAGACUUGAAUUACAAGGAAGUAACUAGAAUAUGUAGUGUAGCGGUGAAAUGCUUAGAUAUUACAUGGAAUACCAAUUGCGAAGGCAGGUUACUACUUGUGGAUUGACGCUGAUGGACGAAAGCGUGGGGAGCGAACAGGAUUAGAAACCCGUGUAGUCC
RNAcentral lists this ribosomal RNA (445 nucleotides) under uncultured bacterium. Its description in RNAcentral is "partial 16S ribosomal RNA". It matches the Rfam family "Bacterial small subunit ribosomal RNA", at positions 354 to 796 of the family's 1533-position model. The record is from RNAcentral.